Strigops habroptila (Kakapo) is the source of this 3733-nucleotide RNA transcript. It is a transcript of the gene named inhibitor of nuclear factor kappa B kinase subunit beta, with no coding region annotated. The transcript has 22 exons. The record is from RefSeq and is a predicted model, not a curated record. NCBI's taxonomy places the organism in Eukaryota, Metazoa, Chordata, Aves, Psittaciformes, Psittacidae.
GCGGCCCAGGCCCGGUGGAGCCGGAGCGGCGCGGCCCCGUCAUGAGCCGGCCGCCGGCCCUGCAGGCGCAGACCUGCGGCCCCUGGGAGAUGAAGGAGCGCCUCGGCACCGGUGGCUUCGGGAACGUUAUUCGCUGGCACAACAAGGAGACCGGCGAGCAGGUGGCCAUCAAGCAGUGCCGGCAGGAGCUGAGCCCCCGCAACCGCGACCGCUGGGCGCUGGAGAUACAGAUCAUGAAGAGGCUGAACCAUCCCAAUGUGGUGGCUGCCCGUGAUGUCCCUGAAGGGAUGCAGAAGCUUGCACCAAACGACUUGCCAUUGCUGGCCAUGGAGUACUGCCAAGGCGGAGACCUCCGCAAGUACCUGAAUCAGCUGGAGAAUUGCUGUGGCUUGCGGGAAGAAGCUAUUCUCAUCUUGUUAUCUGAUAUUGCUUCUGCUCUCAGGUACCUUCAUGAGAACAGGAUUAUCCACAGAGACUUGAAACCAGAGAACAUUGUGCUGCAGCAGGGAGAGCAAAGGUUAAUACACAAGAUCAUUGACCUUGGUUAUGCUAAGGAGUUGGAUCAGGGUAGUCUGUGCACAUCCUUUGUUGGGACUCUACAGUACUUGGCUCCAGAGCUGCUGGAACAGCAGAAAUACACGGUGACAGUGGAUUACUGGAGCUUUGGCACACUGGCUUUCGAGUGCAUUACAGGAUUCCGGCCAUUCCUACCCAACUGGCAGCCAGUGCAAUGGCACACAAAGGUACGACAGAAGAGUGAGCUGGAUAUUGUCGUUUACGAAGACUUAUCUGGAGAAGUCAAAUUUUCUAGUAGUUUACCCUGCCCGAACAAUCUAAACAGUGUUUUGGCUGGGAGGCUGGAGAAAUGGCUGCAACUCAUGUUAAUGUGGCACCCACGGCAGAGAGGUACAGAUCCUACUUAUGGACCCAAUGGGUGUUUCAAAGCUUUGGAUGACAUUUUGAACUUGAAGUUGCUUCAUGUUUUGAACAUGGUUACGGGAACUGUGCACACCUACCCUGUGACAGAGGAGGAGACUCUGCAGAGUGUGAAGGCCAGGAUCCAGUUAGAUACGGGUAUCCCAGAACAGGACCAGGAGCUCCUGCAGGAAGCUGGACUUGCAUUGUUCUCUCAGAAGUUGGCCACUAAACAUACAGCUGAUAGCAAGGUGAAUGACACUGCAGCUGCAGACACAGACCUCCUCUUCCUCUUCGAUAACCAGAAGGUUACCUAUGAGGCUCAGGUUGCCUUGCGUCCUCAUCCAGAAAGCGUUGACUGCAUCCUUCAGGAUCCAAAGAGGAAUCUCCACUUUUUCCAGUUGCGGAAGGUGUGGGGUCAGAUCUGGCACACGAUCCGGAUGCUGAAGGAGGACUGUAACCGGCUUCAGCAGGGGCAGCGAGCAGCCAUGAUGAAUCUGUUGCGUUACAAUAGUACCCUCUCGAAGAUGAAGAAUUCUAUGGCAUCCCUAUCCCAGCAGCUGAAAGCAAAGCUGGACUUCUUUAAAACAAGCAUUCAGAUCGAUCUGGAGAAGUACAAAGAGCAGAUUGAAUUUGGCAUUACUUCUGAGAAGCUGCUCUUUGCCUGGAAGGAGAUGGAGCAAGCUGUAGAACUCUGUGGGCGGGAGGAUGAUGUGGAUCAGCUAGUGAAGAAGAUGAUGGCCCUGCAGACAGACAUUGUGGACCUGCAGAGAAGCCCACUAGGUCGUAAACAAGGAGGAACACUGGAGGAUUUAGAAGAACAAGCCAGAGAGCUGUACCGGAGACUGAGAGAGAAGCCAAGAGAUCAGAGGACAAGCGGUGACAGCCAAGAAAUAGUACGACUGCUCCUACAGGCAAUCCAGAGCUUUGAAAAGAAAGUCCGAGUCAUUUAUGCUCAGCUGAGUAAAACCGUAGUUUGCAAGCAGAAGGCACUGGAGUUGUUCCCCAGAGUGGAGAAAGUGAUGAAUCUCAUGAAUGAAGAUGAGGAAACAGUUGUUCGGCUGCAGGAGAAACGCCAGAAAGAGCUGUGGAACUUGCUGAAAAUUGCUUGUAGUAAAGUACGUGGUCCCGUUACUGGCAGUCCAGAGAGCAUGAACACAUCACGUCUUGGUAGUCCUGGUCACCUGCUGCUGCAGGUCCCUUCUGGAACCUACAACUUAUCAGAAUCCGUCAGGAAAAGUGAGGAACUACUGCUGGAAUCACAGAAACUCUGUAGCCAACUAGAAAAUGUGAUGCAUGACACAAUGAAGGAUCAGGAGCAGAGCUUCAUGGCUCUAGAUUGGAGCUGGCUGCAGCUUCAGGUAGAAGAAACAAACAGUCCACAACAAACCCAGAUGUAAAAUCACUUCGGCUGCCUUUGAAGACAUGCUACUUCAGGAAGGCAACUGUGAAAAGCUGCUGCCUCUGAGAAGGGAAGUUCAAGUCCCUCCUACUUUCACCUACUGCUUAUGUGAUACACGUGGCCUAGCUUUUAGUAACCACCGCUUGGACACUUUUUUCCACAAAGAGACAGUAGGAAAUGCCUGUUCUAAAGUGCUUGGAAAAAGUUCUGAAUCGUGCCUUAAGACAGCAGUGUUCUUAUCAUGGACUAUUGGACAAAGACUGCAAAUCACUUUAUGUAUGUGGAUCAUACAGCAGAUUAAGAGUUAUCGACACAGUCAAACUUAAUGACACGAUGAUAACAUGACUAAAAACAAUGGAACAGUUUAUGAACACCACCACGCACCACAGAAAACCUUGCUAGACAAAGCAAUAAAGAACCAACAUGCCAAAACAGUCACUAUUCUUACCAGCUGGAUAAACAUCCAACAGGAAAGGUUGCAUGGAAAAGAAAAAGCCCAUUUUAGAACUUAAUACAGUUGUUGAUGUUCUGUCACAUUCAGAAGACAGGAUAAUUAACCAUUAGCAUAUUAUUUGAGAAUAAAAACUUCCAGCCAGGAAAACUAUGCAUAUCGUGACAUGUCAAUAACUGGUAGCAGUCACAGUAUAAAGACUACAUAGUUCCUCGUGCCUACAUGUUCCUGGUGCAAGCAAUCCAUCAAAAGCUCAAUUGAGACAGAAUACAGUAAUACAAAAGGAAUGACUUGCACCAUUUGCAUGAUAAGAAUGCAAGAGAAGGAGGGAGCUAAGGCAAAUAAGGUUAUGAAGUAAGCUGAAAAGCAGCACAGCUUAUCAGCCACAACAGCAUCAAGUGGUAGCACACACAGACCUGAGACUCAGUGCAAGAAUAACCUUACGUAGUAAACAGUAUAUGAAGACCAAAAUUAAGAAAUCCAUUCUUGGUUUUGCCAGCCCUCUUGUGAAAUCAGGAGGAAGCUCCACUUCUCCAUCAUUGAAGUGGCGUUCAUAGUAUUUUCUAGUUACCUUAAGUGCUAAAUCUUAAUUAAUAUCUAUAAAAUGCUCUCAAAUUCUACAUAAAGGGUACAGCAGAAGAACUGUUUAGUUUUCAUGAAGUCUCAUAUUGUAAGCACAGUGGAGAUGAGUGAAAAUUAAGUUAAACCAUGGCUCUUAUUUGUCUCUUUGCCUUUCGGAUAAAAGGUCAGUCUGGACUCCAAAUCUUAUAAAACCAACAUCUGCAGAGAAACUCAACUGCAUUCAGAAGCAGAAAUGAGAGCUAUUGAGGGUGAAGAAACAGUUAUGUUUGGGACGUGGCAAUGGGAACGGGGAAGAAAGCAACCUGCUCGCAACAAAAUGCACGCUGCAGGAAAAGAAGGACCACUCCAUCAGUUCCACACCAGUACAGGUUUUAAAAUGAGAA